This 253-nucleotide ribosomal RNA is filed under the name uncultured bacterium. Its description in RNAcentral is "partial 16S ribosomal RNA". It matches the Rfam family "Bacterial small subunit ribosomal RNA", at positions 524 to 776 of the family's 1533-position model. The record is from RNAcentral.
CACGGACCGCACGAACGUUAUUCGGUAUCACUGGGCUUAAAGGGUGCGUAGGCGGCUUGGCAAGUUGGGUGUGAAAGCCCUCGGCUCAACCGAGGAAUUGCGCUCAAUACUGCCGAGCUCGAGAGAGACAGAGGUAAGCGGAACUAAUGGUGGAGCGGUGAAAUGCGUUGAUAUCAUUAGGAACACCGGUGGCGAAGGCGGCUUACUGGGUCUUUUCCGACGCUGAGGCACGAAAGCCAGGGGAGCGAACGGG